GAUCAUUAAAGAAAUUUAAUAAUUUUGAAAAUGGAUUUUUUUUUUUUGUUUUGGCAAGAGCAUGAGAGCUUUUACUGGGCAAGAAGACAAGAGAUGGAGAGUCCAGCCGGGCCUGCGCUUAAGUGCGCGGUCUUGCUAGGCUUGUAAGUUUCUUUCUUGCUAUUCCAAACGGUGAGAGAUUUCUGUGCUUUUGUUAUAGGACAAUUAAAACCGUUUCAAUACAACACACUGUGGAGUUUUCAUAUCUUUGCAACUUUUUCUUUGGGCAUUCGAGCAAUCGGGGCCCAGAGGUAACAAACACAAACAAUUUUAUCUAUUCAUUAAAUUUUUGUCAAAAACAAGAAUUUUCGUAACUGGAAAUUUUAAAAUAUUAAAAACUUUCAACAACGGAUCUCUUGGUUCUCGCAUCGAUGAAGAACGCAGCGAAAUGCGAUACGUAAUGUGAAUUGCAGAAUUCCGUGAAUCAUCGAAUCUUUGAACGCACAUUGCGCCCCUUGGUAUUCCAGGGGGCAUGCCUGUUUGAGCGUCAUUUCCUUCUCAAACAUUCUGUUUGGUAGUGAGUGAUACUCUUUGGAGUUAACUUGAAAUUGCUGGCCUUUUCAUUGGAUGUUUUUUUUCCAAAGAGAGGUUUCUCUGCGUGCUUGAGGUAUAAUGCAAGUACGGUCGUUUUAGGUUUUACCAACUGCGGCUAAUCUUUUUUUAUACUGAGCGUAUUGGAACGUUAUCGAUAAGAAGAGAGCGUCUAGGCGAACAAUGUCU
This 759-nucleotide unclassified non-coding RNA is filed under the name Saccharomyces cerevisiae (brewer's yeast). RNAcentral's name for it is "sequence contains 18S rRNA gene, ITS1, 5.8S rRNA gene, ITS2, 28S rRNA gene". The stretch from base 376 to 529 matches the Rfam family "5.8S ribosomal RNA". Lineage: Eukaryota; Fungi; Ascomycota; Saccharomycetes; Saccharomycetales; Saccharomycetaceae. The record is from RNAcentral.